GAACACAUAGACUAGGGUUAGAGAGAAGAGUAAGAGAGAGAGACAGAUUAGAGGUGGAGAGAAAGGCAGAGCCGUCGUCCGGCUGGCCACUCUCUUGGCAGUGAUGAUGGUUGGGUGGUUUUGACGCGGCAAACGGUAGAGAAAGCAGCGAUGGACAGAGAGAGAGAGAGAGAGAGAGAGGGGAGCGGCGGUGAUGGAAAAACCGGCCACGUCUCCGACCGGCCACCCAUGGUGGUGGUGACGGCGACCGUGACGGUUGUGGCUUCUAGGUUUCGCUCGACAUUCUCGUGGAUUCCCAAGCCUAAAAGACCAGUGUGAGUCACAGAACCCCGAAUAUGGCCAGCCAGAGGCGUUGAGAGAGGAGAUGGAGGAGUUGCCGGCGGGAGAUUGGGAAUUACAGAAAUGCCUCUGGUGACCGUCCGUCGCUUUCUUUAUAAGGUUCGUUUUUUUCGUUUAGGUAUUAGAAUUUGUGCUUUAGUAGUUUUUGUGCUGCUGGUAUUUGACUGGGCCUAUUUGGUGGUGGAGGCCUCAUCACCAAAUGUGACAUGCGUUGUCUCAUCUGUAGGGGCAGUGGUAGAAAACCACCAAACCCUUCAAACAUCAAUCUCGUCGGUAUUAUAUCAGAGAAAGAGAGAGCGCAAUAGAAGAAUGCACAGAGAGAACCGCUUCCACGGUGGGUUGCGGCGGUGUUUCAUGGCGGUGGUUCUGCCGCCGGUGAUGGCGAUAGUUUGUCGAAGAAGACGUCGUUGCAUCCGGCAGUCCGGCACGACAGCGCACAACGGAGGUUCACACAUAGAAAACUGCUUAUUGGCCUUCUAAAAAAUGUCGGUUACCUCCACACUAAUGUCGGAGACAUCAAGUGCGAAAUCGUGCGUGAUGAAGUGCUUAACGCAUCAGAGGUUAGUUAUAUAGGGCUUAUCGGAUAGCGAUGACAGUGGUAAAGAGCUAUUGGUUAUACCUGGCGACUAGGAUUCCAUCGUCUUCCUGUUAGUCUUUGUACCUUUUUCAAGUCAACGUACUGCGGCUAUGGUAUGUAUCUAGCCAUCAUUGGUGAUAGGGGUCGGAAACGCCGGUGACAAACACUAAAAUGGUGAUUGUGGAUGGAGUGUAGUCGCCUAGAACAAUUGUUGGCAGACAUGUUUAUUUCUUUUACUGAUGGGUUUAUCAUAUACUAAAGUGUAGCUGGCUUGACGUAUAUAUAGUCGUUGUAUGCUGAAAGAAUUAGGGCUUUUGAAAUCUGAAUUUGAUUGACCCACUUCUUUCUUCUGUUGAUCGAGUUGGUAUGCUGAUAUGCAUUCUAAGAUUGUGUACAUCGUGUUAUGUUUUCUACUUUUAAUCUGUGUCUUAUGUUUUUUUUUAAA
Molecule: long non-coding RNA, 1361 nt
Organism: Helianthus annuus (common sunflower)
Lineage: Eukaryota; Viridiplantae; Streptophyta; Magnoliopsida; Asterales; Asteraceae
Exons: 2
Source: RefSeq, a predicted model, not a curated record